Molecule: ribosomal RNA, 497 nt
Filed under: uncultured bacterium
Lineage: Bacteria
Description: partial 16S ribosomal RNA
Rfam family: Bacterial small subunit ribosomal RNA
Source: RNAcentral
GAUGAACGCUGGCGGCGUGCCUAAUACAUGCAAGUCGAGCGAACAGAUGAGGAGCUUGCUCCUCUGACGUUAGCGGCGGACGGGUGAGUAACACGUGGAUAACCUACCUAUAAGACUGGGAUAACUUCGGGAAACCGGAGCUAAUACCGGAUAAUAUAUUGAACCGCAUGGUUCAAUAGUGAAAGACGGUUUUGCUGUCACUUAUAGAUGGAUCCGCGCCGCAUUAGCUAGUUGGUAAGGUAACGGCUUACCAAGGCAACGAUGCGUAGCCGACCUGAGAGGGUGAUCGGCCACACUGGAACUGAGACACGGUCCAGUCUCCUACGGGAGGCAGCAGUAGGGAAUCUUCCGCAAUGGGCGAAAGCCUGACGGAGCAACGCCGCGUGAGUGAUGAAGGUCUUCGGAUCGUAAAACUCUGUUAUUAGGGAAGAACAAAUGUGUAAGUAAAUAUGCACGUCUUGACGGUACCUAAUCAGAAAGCCACGGCUAACUACGUG